GUGAGGUCUCAGAUCACAGAUUUAGAAAACAAGAUAUUUUAGGACCCUGCCUCACAUUCCCUCACCCCAAGAAUCAGAGGAGGUGGAAGUGAGGAGAGGAAAGAGGAGAUAGGAGGAGAGAAGAAGGGAGAUAGAAGGAGAGAGGAGGAGAGAGAGAGAGAGGAGGAGGAGACAGGAGAGAGGAAGUUCAUGUCGUUUCCAUGCAGAAAUGAAGCAGGCAGAAACAGUCCAGUCAUUAGUAUGGUACUUUAGUUCACAUAGUUACAGUAUUCAUCAUCAUUAUAGUCAUCACUUCAUAAAUAAAUGUUAUUGAUUUCAGUUAGGAAUGGCAGCGCAUAUACAAGAUUCAACAAAAUAAGAAGCUCAGGCCUCAGCGUCAUCCAGGACACAACCGUAGCCGACAAGAUCUGAAUCCAAAAUAACAUGUAAAGACAAUCCACUGCUCAAGUUACAUAAAA
This is a long non-coding RNA of Gadus macrocephalus (Pacific cod), 458 nucleotides long. RefSeq lists it as uncharacterized. NCBI's taxonomy places the organism in Eukaryota, Metazoa, Chordata, Actinopteri, Gadiformes, Gadidae. The record is from RefSeq and is a predicted model, not a curated record. The transcript has 2 exons.